This 245-nucleotide non-coding RNA is filed under the name unidentified. Its description in RNAcentral is "Listeriaceae bacterium T-box sequence". It matches the Rfam family "T-box leader". Rfam says of the family: Uncharged tRNA acts as the effector for transcription antitermination of genes in the T-box leader family. T-boxes are found upstream of many aminoacyl-tRNA synthetase genes and some amino acid biosynthetic genes usually in Gram-positive bacteria. The record is from RNAcentral.
CGAAAAGCUAUAAUAGAGACAAGUACACGUUCUGAAUACAUCCUGUUUUAAAGCGAGCUGGUGAUGGUGAGAGACUGGCAAAUAGGAUAGAAUAUGGAAAUCACUCUGGAGCUCUUUUUUUGAAAGGUACACGUUGCCAAUUAGGAAGAAGCGUAAGUCGGCGUUAACGAUAUAACGAAGUGGGCAAAGAUGCAUGAUCGAUGUCAACAAGGGUGGUACCGCGACUAUUUAGACUCGUCCCUUUU